CCCGAGGACUCGGCCGGCAGUCACACCGGCGGUCCGGCCGAAGCGUGCAGACCCGACCGUGCCCAAGACGAGGAUGAUGACAGCUCCCAUGGAAUUUACUUAAAGAGUUAUUCAGAGAGUAAAUAUUCCUUCUUGUCUGGCCUAGUGCAUCUGUAUUUGAAUAAUGUAUCAUCUGAGUCAACACGGCCUUCUGUGCUCUGCGCCGAGCCUUUGCCGCGUUGCACAGCU
RNAcentral lists this long non-coding RNA (228 nucleotides) under Capra hircus (goat). Its description in RNAcentral is "lncRNA (ENSCHIG00010011131.1)". Lineage: Eukaryota; Metazoa; Chordata; Mammalia; Artiodactyla; Bovidae. The record is from RNAcentral.